This 484-nucleotide ribosomal RNA is filed under the name uncultured bacterium. Its description in RNAcentral is "partial 16S ribosomal RNA". It matches the Rfam family "Bacterial small subunit ribosomal RNA", at positions 28 to 523 of the family's 1533-position model. The record is from RNAcentral.
GAUGAACGCUGGCGGCGUGCUUAACACAUGCAAGUCGAACGGUGAAGCAGGAGCUUGCUCUUGUGGAUCAGUGGCGAACGGGUGAGUAACACGUGAGCAACCUGCCCCUGACUCUGGGAUAAGCGCUGGAAACGGCGUCUAAUACUGGAUAUGUGAUGUGACCGCAUGGUCUGCAUCUGGAAAGAAUUUCGGUUGGGGAUGGGCUCGCGGCCUAUCAGCUUGUUGGUGAGGUAAUGGCUCACCAAGGCGUCGACGGGUAGCCGGCCGGAGAGGGUGACCGGCCACACUGGGACUGGGACACGGCCCAGACUCCUACGGGAGGCAGCAGUGGGGAAUAUUGCACAAUGGGCGGAAGCCUGAUGCUGCAACGCCGCGUGAGGGAUGACGGCCUUCGGGUUGUAAACCUCUUUUAGCAGGGAAGAAGCGAAAGUGACGGUACCUGCAGAAAAAGCACCGGCUAACUACGUGCCAGCCGCCGCCGUAA